RNAcentral lists this long non-coding RNA (418 nucleotides) under Nicotiana benthamiana. RNAcentral describes it as "long non-coding RNA (NBEN_LNC002191)". The record is from RNAcentral. Lineage: Eukaryota; Viridiplantae; Streptophyta; Magnoliopsida; Solanales; Solanaceae.
CUGCUAGGGUACUCACAUAUUCAACAUGAUACAGAAAAUUUUGCCACCAGCUUUGGCCUUCUGAACUGCAUAUCUUUCCCAGAAACACGAUAAACUUCUUGAUUCUUCUCAACUCGUCUACGACCAGAUGACCGUCUAUCAUCUCUAUCGUUAUCUUAGCAUGUCCUUUGCUGAAUAGUCUCUCUACAACGUUGUCUAUGUAUUCCACGACGAGUUUGUAGCCCAGAGGAGUAGUUCCAGCUGCUUUUAUAGUUCCUGGAUAUUCAUAUGCAGCUACCAUGUCAUGCUCCUUGAAAUUAUUAAUCCUUUCAAGCAAAUCAAUGCCCAUAGCCCUAUAGUCAGAGCAGACCAGACUUUCAAAAUAUCUCAAAAAUUGUUUGAUCUGCCCUACCACGUAUGAAGAUUCCUCCAAGCGAAA